Molecule: ribosomal RNA, 816 nt
Filed under: uncultured bacterium
Lineage: Bacteria
Description: bacterial SSU rRNA
Rfam family: Bacterial small subunit ribosomal RNA
Source: RNAcentral
AGAGUUUGAUCCUGGCUCAGAACGAACGCUGGCGGCGUGGAUAAGACAUGCAAGUUGAACGCUAAUUUCAGUGUAGCAAUAUAUUGAAGUUGGAGUAGCGCAAGGGUGCGUAACACGUGGGUAAUUUGCCCUGAAGUUGGGGAUAACUCGCUGAAAAGGCGAGCUAAUACCGGAUGUGAAGUUUGGGUGGCAUCACCUGACCUUUAAAGCUGGGGAUCGUAAGACCUGGCGCUUUAGGAUAAGCCCGCGGCCUAUCAGCUAGUUGGUGAGGUAACGGCUCACCAAGGCUAAGACGGGUAGCUGGUCUGAGAGGACGACCAGCCACACUGGAACUGAGACACGGUCCAGACACCUACGGGUGGCAGCAGUCGAGAAUUUUUCUCAAUGGGCGCAAGCCUGAAGGAGCGACGCCGCGUGGGGGAUGAAGGGUUUCGAUCCGUAAACCCCUGUCAUUUGUGAACAAUGGUUAUCGUUUAAGAGAUGAUGACUUGAUAGUAAUGAAAGAGGAAGGGACGGCUAACUCUGUGCCAGCAGCCGCGGUAAUACAGAGGUCCCGAGCGUUGUUCGGAUUCACUGGGCGUAAAGGGUGCGUAGGUGGCCUGAAAAGUUUGAUGUGAAAGCUCAGGGCUUAACCCUGAAAUGGCAUUGAAUACUGUUGGGCUGGAGGUUUGGAGGGGGGACUGGAAUUCUUGGUGUAGCAGUGAAAUGCGUAGAUAUCAAGAGGAACACCAGUGGCGAAGGCGAGUCCCUGGACAACACCUGACACUGAGGCACGAAAGCUAGGGGAGCAAACAGGAUUAGAUACCCUAGUAGUCC